Molecule: ribosomal RNA, 497 nt
Filed under: uncultured bacterium
Lineage: Bacteria
Description: partial 16S ribosomal RNA
Rfam family: Bacterial small subunit ribosomal RNA
Source: RNAcentral
GAUGAACGCUGGCGGCAUGCCUAAUACAUGCAAGUCGAACGAAAACACGGGGAGCUUUCUCCCCUGACGGUAUCGGGGGACGGGUGAGGAACUCAUGGAUAGCCUACCUAUAAGACUGGGGUAAUAACGCGGGACAGUAUCUAAUAACGAAUAAUAUAUUGAACUUGAUUGUGCAAGAGUUGAAGACGGUUUUUCUGACAGUAAUAGAUGAAUACGCGCAGGAUUAGCUAGUUGGUAAAGUAACGGCUUACCAAGGCUACGAUGCGUAGACGACCCGAGAGCGUGAUUCGCUACACUGGAACUGAGACACGGUACAGACUCCUACGGGAGGAAGCAGCAGGGACUCUUACGCAAUGGGCGAAAGCCUGAUGUAGCACCGCCGCGUGAGUGAUGAAGGACUUAGGAUCGUAAAACUCUGUUAUUCGGAAAGAUCAAAUGCGUAUUUACCUAUGCUCGUCUUGACGGUACCUAAACAAUAAGCCACGGCUAACUCCGUG